GAUGAACGCUAGCUACAGGCUUAACACAUGCAAGUCGAGGGGCAGCAUGAACUUAGCUUGCUAAGUUUGAUGGCGACCGGCGCACGGGUGAGUAACACGUAUCCAACCUGCCGAUGACUCGGGGAUAGCCUUUCGAAAGAAAGAUUAAUACCCGAUGGCAUAGUUCUUCCGCAUGGUAGAACUAUUAAAGAACUUCGGUCAUCGAUGGGGAUGCGUUCCAUUAGGUUGUUGGCGGGGUAACGGCCCACCAAGCCUUCGAUGGAUAGGGGUUCUGAGAGGAAGGUCCCCCCACAUUGGAACUGAGACACGGUCCAAACUCCUACGGGAGGCAGCAGUGAGGAAUAUUGGUCAAUGGACGAGAGUCUGAACCAGCCAAGUAGCGUGAAGGAUGACUGCCCUAUGGGUUGUAAAACUUCUUUUAUAUGGGAAUAAAGUUUUCCACGUGUGGAAUUUUGUAUGUACCAUAUGAAUAAGGAUCGGCUAACUCCGUG
RNAcentral lists this ribosomal RNA (491 nucleotides) under uncultured bacterium. RNAcentral describes it as "bacterial SSU rRNA". It matches the Rfam family "Bacterial small subunit ribosomal RNA", at positions 28 to 507 of the family's 1533-position model. The record is from RNAcentral.